RNAcentral lists this long non-coding RNA (5562 nucleotides) under Panax ginseng (ginseng). RNAcentral's name for it is "long non-coding RNA (PGIN_LNC015622)". The record is from RNAcentral. Lineage: Eukaryota; Viridiplantae; Streptophyta; Magnoliopsida; Apiales; Araliaceae.
GGAGCCCAAAUCUUUAGUGAAGGUGGGCUUGACUACUUGGGAAACCCAAGCUUGGUUCAUGCCCAGAGCAUCUUGGCUAUUUGGGCUACCCAAGUUGUCUUGAUGGGGGCAGUUGAGGGCUACCGUAUUGCUGGUGGACCACUCGGUGAGGUUGAAGAUCCACUUUACCCCGGUGGAAGUUUCGACCCAUUGGGCCUUGCUGAUGAUCCGGAGGCUUUUGCUGAGCUUAAGGUUAAGGAACUCAAGAAUGGAAGACUUGCUAUGUUCUCCAUGUUUGGUUUCUUCGUUCAGGCCAUUGUUACAGGAAAGGGCCCAUUGGAGAACCUAGCUGAUCAUCUUGCUGAUCCAGUGAACAACAAUGCAUGGGCCUAUGCCACCAACUUUGUCCCCGGAAAGUGAGAGAGGAGGAGAGCUUUGAACUUCUUACUUUCGGUUUGAGCAGUUUGUGUGUUUGUUAUGUAUAUUGGUCCGAUCUAAUGAAAAAAAGUGUGAAUUUAUAUGUCUUUGUUAUGUAUAAGUUGAUACCCUAUGUUGUUUGUUUGUUCUAAAAAUGCAGUAGUACCUAAAAUGUAUCUAUCUCAUCUUACAUAAUCACUUGGUUAGGGCCAUGGAAUGGUGGCCUUAACCAAUUUCUUUUGGGACGUUUCAAAUUAGCUCAAUAUAAAUGCUGCUAAAAAUCUUCAAUAUUGUUGGACACAAUUGGCUAUCAUGUAAAAUUUGCUCAUAAUUCUCGUAGCUUAAGAAGAUUAAUUUGAUAUAUAGUUGCCUAUCAAGUUAUAAAGAAUCAAAAAUGGAUAAUAGAAAAAGAAAAGAAAAGAAAAGGUGAGAAUACAUGAAUUAAUAGUAGUAAUGUAGUAGUAAAACUAGACUUGUAGGUAAGUAGUUUCGUUUUUGCUCAGAAAGGGUACAAAGACAACUGCACAAACCCAAAAGGGCGCGCUUUAGCCCUUAAUUAGUCCCAAAGACGAGAGCUUUUUAGUGCCAUUAAUCCUCAAUUCAGAGCAUUGACAGUAAUCAAGAUGCGACCAUCAUCCCAUGCCCACUUUUUCUCCUCUCUCAAACAAGUUGAGAAGAGAUUAAAAUCGGAGAACACUUCACAAUCCUCCAUUAAUCCCUCUCCACCACCACCAGACAGCAAUUUUACACCACCAGAAUCUCUCAGCUCUCCUAUAUACCUUGAUUUCGACCAACCCACCAGUAGUAACUCAUUUCUUCAAGAAAGUGAUCCCCCUCGAGAAUUCCUCUCAAGUUCUCUUGAUUUCCCAGCUACCCAUGAAGACCCACCUCAAUCAAGCCCUGUACAUAACCCAGAAACAAUCAACGAACUCGAAACAAAUGGGGUUGAUGAUAUCGAUUUGUUAAUGCAACUUUUGGGUUUAUCUGAUUGUAAAAAGGAAGAGCAAAAAGGUGUUGGAUUCGAUUUGAAUAGUAAUUGUGAUGAUGAGUUUUAUGUUAAGAUUGCUAAAGUUAAGGGGCCAAGAUGUAACAAGGAAGUUCAGAGAAUGGAGGGGUGGAUUAAGCAUUUUAUGAAUGAGGGUGAGAAAAAAGAGCCCUUGAGAUUGGCACAUUUACUUUUGGCUAAAGCUGCUUUGCUUUCAGAUAAUAGUGGUGGAUGUGGAGGCUUUGAAUUUCCCUCAACUGUUGAUGAGUUUUUGCAGAAUGAUCCCCCACCAAAUUAGGUUAGUUUUUACUUUUUUCCCCAAUCUCUUUUUCUGAAAUCUUUGUGGAGCUGUUUAUAGCGAUUGUAGGGAAUUAUUACAUAAAUUUUAUGUGUUAUAUCUGCUUCCUGAGUAGUGAUCUCAUUUUCAUUUAGUUAGCUACUCCUUGUUGAUGAUUACAUAUAACAAUUAUGAAUUUAAAUGUUUAAGUAUUAUGCAACUUCCCAUUAGUAUGUCAUUCAAAUAUAAGAUAUGUUGGAACAAUAAGUAACUAAGGAAACAUAAUUUUUAAUUACUAUUAGUGAUGAAUGUAUGGGAUUUGAAGCCUAGAGUGCCUUCCAAAACACUUUAUCCACAUUUACAUAAUCAUGUGUCCUGUAGAAUCAAAAAUCUUAUCUUAAGCUAAGAAUUUUCUGUGAGAUUUUUUGGCACAUUGUACAUAUAAAUCCAAGGCUGGUUAGUGAAACAGAAACUACCAGUUGGAUUUGAAAAUACGAUCAACCAAUGAAGAGAAAGAUAAAGAUAUCCAAAGAUAAGGACCCUAUAAACCCAAGCCACAUAUAUACUUUGGAUACAUACAUGAAACUCAAGCCAACUAGCUCCUUUCUAUAGCUAUUCCCAUAACUGUUGUUUCCUUCAGCAGAUUUUCUUUUAAAUCUACUAAAUGGCUGCUACAUCAAUGGCUGUCUCUUCCCCAUCUUUUGCUGGGAAGGCUGUGCAAGUUGCUCCUUCUUCGUCAGAGUUCUUUGGAAAUGGAAGGGUUUCCAUGAGGAAAACUGUCACCAAGCCUGUCUCAUCUGGCAGCCCGUGGUACGGCCCAGCCCGAGUCAAGUACUUGGGCCCAUUCUCCGGUGAAGCUCCAUCUUACCUUACCGGAGAAUUCCCAGGUGACUAUGGUUGGGACACUGCUGGGCUCAGCUGACCCUGAAACCUUUGCCAAGAACCGUGAGCUUGAGGUGAUCCACAGUAGGUGGGCCAUGCUUGGAGCUCUUGGUUGUGUAUUCCCUGAGCUUUUGCCUCGCAAUGGUGUCAAGUUUGGUGAAGCCGUGUGGUUUAAGGCCGGGGCCCAAAUCUUCAGCGAGGGUGGACUUGACUACUUGGGAAACGCAAGCUUGGUACAUGCCCAAAGCAUCUUAGCCAUCUGGGCUACUCAAGUUAUCUUGAUGGGUGCUGUUGAGGGUUAUCGUGUUGCUGGUGGGCCACUCGGUGAGGUUGUUGACCCACUUUACCCUGGUGGGAGCUUCGACCCAUUAGGCCUUGCUGAUGACCCAGAGGCAUUUGCUGAGCUUAAGGUGAAGGAGCUUAAGAAUGGGAGACUUGCCAUGUUCUCUAUGUUUGGGUUCUUUGUUCAGGCCAUUGUGACUGGAAAAGGCCCAUUGGAAAACCUGGCUGAUCACCUUGCUGAUCCAGUAAACAACAAUGCUUGGGCCUUUGCUACUAACUUUGUCCCUGGAAAGUGAGAGAUGAGAGUCUUGAAUUCCUUACCAUUUGACUUUCAAUUUGAGUUGAGUGAUGUAAUGUGGUCUUAUCGAAUGCUGAAAUUGUGAAUUUUUGUGCUACUAUAUACUUUUGUGCAAAUGGUUCUGAUUUACUUAUAAUUUCGCUACUGUAUUCUAUCUUUCCCCAUAUAAGUUCGUAAUCCUUGCAGUCUGUUUGGCUGAAAUUUGAACUACCACUAACAUAAAAAUCCUUAACAAAAUAGAUUAAAUAAUAUCCACACCCUUUUCAGGUUAUUGCCGCAUAGAAAAUGGAGAAAACAGAACUUCUAAAUUACAAAAUUUUAAAGAAACACCUAAUGUAGGCCAUGAAAGAUUGGCCUUGGAACCAAUUUUCCUCCAAGAGGUUUCAAAAUAUUUCCAUAUAUUCUACUAAAAGAUUCCUUGAUGUAGUGAACCUUUCAAUAAUGGUUGCUUCUGUUUUGUCUUGGGAAAAUAAAUUUGAUUGAUAAUUUAACAUCUAAGGUACAAAAAUGCUUUUGGGNNNNNNNNNNNNNNNNNNNNNNNNNNNNNNNNNNNNNNNNNNNNNNNNNNNNNNNNNNNNNNNNNNNNNNNNNNNNNNNNNNNNNNNNNNNNNNNNNNNNNNNNNNNNNNNNNNNNNNNNNNNNNNNNNNNNNNNNNNNNNNNNNNNNNNNNNNNNNNNNNNNNNNNNNNNNNNNNNNNNNNNNNNNNNNNNNNNNNNNNNNNNNNNNNNNNNNNNNNNNNNNNNNNNNNNNNNNNNNNNNNNNNNNNNNNNNNCAGCUGUGAAAUUUACUUUUAACCUAAUUGUUAACACUUAACACUACUUCAUAUUAUAAUUAUUAUUUAAUCAUUAUCACUCACACUCCGAAGGAACUAAUCAGCUAAAUAUAUAUUCUGAUGGUAUACAAAUUUUCAGAAGUAUGUCAAUAAUAUUUUAGAUUGUGGAGCAAUCAUUCACUUGACACUAAUAAACUUUGAUUCGAUAGCAACUAGGCACAUUCAUGUAUAGAGAUAGCUUCUCCAAGCAGAAAAUCCAUGAAUCAAACUGAUUGGCUAUUAUUGUGUUCACUGUCUAUUUUUAUGAGAUUUAUUGAGACAUUCUGCACCUAAUAAAUCCAAGGCUGGUAGUGGUAUAGAAAUUGCCAAAUGGAUAAGAAACCAAGUUCUCAAAAUACCAUCAAGCAAUGAGGAUAAAAGUAAAGAUGUACAAAGAUAAGGACCCUAGCUAGUUAAUCGAAGUAUAUAUAUAUGUAGGUUACAACCCAUGAUACUCAAGCCCGUUAGUACCUUUCUUAGCUAUUCCUACAACUGUUAUUACUUUUAAGAGUUCUUACUUCAACUAUACAGAAUGGCUACUUCAUCAAUGGCCCUCUCUUCCCCAUCUUUUGCCGGUCAGGCAGUGAAAGUUGCUCCAUCUUCGUCGGAGCUUUCUGGUAAUGGAAGAGUUUCCAUGAGGAAAACUGUCACCAAGCCGGUGUCCUCUAGCAGCCCAUGGUAUGGCCCAGACAGAGUCAAGUACUUGGGCCCAUUCUCUGGAGAGGCCCCAUCUUUCCUCUCUGGGGAAUUCCCAGGUGACUACGGUUGGGACACUGCCGGGCUCUCGGCUGAUCCCGAAACCUUUGCCAAGAACCAUGAACUUGAGGUGAUCCACAGUAGGUGGGCCAUGCUUGGAGCUCUUGGUUGUGUAUUCCCUGAGCUUUUGGCUCGCAACGGUGUGAAGUUCGGUGAAGCUGUAUGGUUUAAGGCUGGAGCCCAAAUCUUCAGCGAGGGUGGGCUUGACUACUUGGGAAACCCAAGCUUGGUACAUGCCCAAAGCAUCUUGGCAAUCUGGGCUACACAAGUUAUCUUGAUGGGUGCUGUUGAGGGUUAUCGUGUUGCCGGUGGGCCACUCGGUGAGGUUGUUGACCCACUUUACCCAGGUGGGAGCUUCGACCCAUUAGGCAUUGCUGAUGACCCAGAGGCAUUUGCUGAGCUUAAGGUGAAGGAGCUUAAGAAUGGAAGACUAGCCAUGUUCUCUAUGUUUGGUUUCUUUGUUCAGGCCAUUGUGACUGGAAAAGGCCCAUUGGAAAACCUAGCUGAUCACCUUGCUGAUCCAGUUAACAACAAUGCUUGGGCCUUUGCCACUAACUUUGUCCCUGGAAAGUGAGAAGAACAGCAUUGAAGAAUUCUAACAACGAGGAAAGUUUCUCUCAUCAUACAGUUUUUAUUUUUGAGUGGGGUCUGAUGUAAAUUGGUUUGAUCUAGUGAACAGAUUGUGAAUUUCGUGUUUUGAAAUGAAAUGAUUUUAAUUUUAUAAUGCCUUUUAUGUUUUUCUGUUUUAUUUAUUUGUUCAAGUUAGUGUUUUCUGUUGCUUUUAAAAGGGUUUGUAGUAUAUCUGAAAGAAUCCCAGAUGAAAAACAGUGGAAGAAAAAAACUAAGCUUAAUUUCUAACUCACAUCAAACCGAAA